Dreissena polymorpha is the source of this 3362-nucleotide RNA transcript. It is a transcript of the gene named eukaryotic translation initiation factor 3 subunit C-like, with no coding region annotated. Lineage: Eukaryota; Metazoa; Mollusca; Bivalvia; Myida; Dreissenidae. The transcript is spliced from 22 exons. The record is from RefSeq and is a predicted model, not a curated record.
CGGAAAUCAAAUAACUAUGUGUUCACCAAUUGAUGACGUUUUUCACAAAACGUGUGCUUGUCGCCGGCCAUUGCGGCAAAAAAGUGAACAGAUUUAACAGGUUUUCAACAGCUGCCUGAGACAUGUCACGUUUCUUCAAAGGGUCCGACUCAGAGUCGGAAAGCUCAUCAGGUGAAGAUGAGAUGCAACAGCAGAGACCGGUUGCCUCAAAAGCGUUUCAGUUCUCAGAUGAUGAAGAAGAAACUAAAAGAGUUGUCCGAAGUGAGAAAGACAAACGGUUUGAGGAGCUGACAACCAUAAUUAAAGGCAUGAAAAAUAAGAUGAAGAUUAAGGACUUGGGAAAUGUUCAAUCAGAGUUUGAUGCUCUCUGCAAGGCUUAUGAAAAAGCAAGAAAGGUUGUGGACAAAGAAGGGGUGCCAAGAUUUUACAUCAGAACUCUUGCUGAGCUGGAAGACUUCAUAACAGAGUGUUGGGAGGACAAGGAGGGCCGCAAGAAAAUGAACAAGACCAACGCAAGAAGCCUGACCACGAUGAGACAGAAGCUGAAGAAGUACAGCCGUGACUUUGAGAAGGAUCUUGAGAACUACCGGGCUAACCCCGAUGAGGGGGAUUUUGAUGAUGAACUGAAUGCACCGGCAGAUGACCUGGAGAGUUCGGAGUCCGAGGAUGAUCUUCCCCCAGCAUCUGCUUUCUUGAAGAAAGAAAAACCUGUCAAACCUGUCAAGCCUGCUAGAACCAUGGAUGACGAUGAUGAUGAUGACGAGUGGUCCGAAUCCGAGUCUGAUACUUCUGAUGAUGAAGAUGCUCCUGCAGAUUACACCAACAUGGCUGCCUACUUCUUAAAGGACAAAACCACUGAGGAGAAGAAGGACACGAAGGCUCAGAAAAAGAUGAAGCGUCGUCUGGCUGCCAAGGAUGCAGAGAAGGAGGAUGACGAGGGAGAGGGAGAGUGGGAGGAGGUCACCUCCAAAGGGGGUGCACCACUUGUGGUGGAGAAGCCAAAAAUGUUCGCCAAGGACACUGAGGUGAACCACGAAGCCGUGUCUAAGAAACUGUUUGAGAUUAUCUCAGCCCGAGGUAAGAAGGGUACCGACAGACAGGAGCAGAUCGAGCUGUUGAAGGAGCUCUACACGAUAGCAGAGACUAACAAUCUAGGCAUUGCUGUGUCCGUCAAGAUCAGUUUCAACAUCAUUGCGGCCAUCUUUGACUACAACCCUAACAUUGCCCAGUGUAUGAAAGCGGAGAUGUGGGACAUGUGUGUGUCCAAUGUGAAGGCCAUUCUUGUGAUGCUGAAGGAACACCCAGACAUCUCUGUGGGGGCAAAUAUCACUGAGGACAGUGAGAGUCUAGAGACAAGCCCUUACCGUAUCCGUGGCUGCAUCCUUACUGUGGUGGAGAGGAUGUGUGAGGAGUACACCAAGAUGCUGCAGGCCUGUGACGCACAUAGCACUGAAUAUGUAGAAAGGCUUCGUGAUGAUGUGACAGUGUGUAAGAUCAUUGAUGAUAUUGUUGUGUACCUGGAGGAGCGUGCCACAUCUGAGGAGAUCUGCAGGGCCUACCUGCGCAAAGUGGAGAGCUGCUACUAUAAGUCAGGUGACUGCAACGAGACCCAGAUGGACUUCCUGUGCAAGUACAUCUACACAAAAGACGUCACAGACCGCCUGCGCACGCGUGCAAUCCUGUGCCACAUCUACCACCACGCGCUGCACGAUCGCUGGUUCCAGGCCCGAGACCUGAUGCUCAUGUCCCACCUGCAGGACACCAUCCAACACUCAGAUGUGCCCACCCAGAUCCUGUACAAUCGGACAAUGGUUCAGCUGGGCCUGUGUUCAUUCAGACAGGGCAUGACUAAGGACGCUCACAACGCCCUUGUGGACAUCCAGAGUGGAGGCAGGGCCAAGGAGCUUCUGGCUCAGGGUCUGCUGUUACAAAGGCAGCAUGAGAGGACCCCUGAGCAGGAGAAGAUUGAGAAGCGGCGUCUGUUGCCGUACCACAUGCACAUUAACCUGGAGCUCCUUGAGUGCGUCUACCUGGUGUCGGCCAUGCUGAUGGAGAUUCCCUACAUGGCAGCCCACGAGAUGGAUGUUCGCCGUCGCAUGAUCAGCAAGAAUUUCCACCACGUGUUGCGUAUGAGUGAGCGCCAGACUCUGACAGGGCCACCAGAGAGCAUGCGUGAGCACAUUGUGGCCGCAUCCAAGGCCAUGAAGACUGGGGACUGGAAGGCCUGCAAGACCUACAUCAUCAACGAGAAGAUGAAUGCCAAGGUGUGGGACCUGUUCCAAGACAAGGACCAGGUGCGCGACAUGAUUGUGUCAAAGAUUCAGGAGGAGAGCCUGCGCACUUACCUGUUCACGUACAGCAGUGUGUAUGACACCCUCUCCCUGGUCACCCUCGCCCACAUGUUUGAGCUCGACGUCUACAAGGUGCACUCCAUCAUCAGCAAGAUGGUCAUCAAUGAGGAGCUCAUGGCCUCGUUGGAUGAGCCUACUGAGACUGUGAUCAUGCACCGCACGGAGCCUACGCGUCUGCAGGCCCUGGCCCUGCAACUUUCAGAGAAGGUCGGCAAUCUUGUGGAGAACAAUGAGCGGAUACUGGAGAUUAAACAAGGCAACUUCUUCUUCAAUAAGAAUCAGACCAAGCCUCUGAGAUUCUGGUGAUGAUCAACAACAAAACCAAGGUGGAUAUCAACAGAAUCAACAAAAUUGGAAUCGCCGCAAUCAGAGAGGCGACCGUCACGACCGUCAACAACAGAGAGCAUACUAGUUGACAUAAGUAAUAACGUUUAUAAAUAUUUACAUCGUCGGGUAUUGAGUAUCGCUGAAGACAGCAAAGGAAAACCAAGUGCUAGCAAUUUUAUUUACGUUGGAAAGUUGUUUAUUGUGUAGACCUGUAAUUUGCUUUGAGCCUCCUUUUGCAUUUAUUCUUUAACUUAUACAUUUUUGGUGUUUGGUUAUUGUUGCAACAACUAUAUAUUUACACUAUGCAGACAAAAUGUGAAUUUAAAAUGAGUUGUAAAAUUAAUAAAGUGAUACAUUAUAGCAUUUAUUUAAAAGAGCUGACAAAAUAUGAUCCAUUAUUUUUAUCUCAACACUGCUCUGUGUGUGUUCAACUUGUCUCCUAUCUUGAUAUUCUUAUUCUCGGGCACGUUUAUCUUUUUGAUUUUUCUUUAUGUAAAAUCAUGAUGAAUAUUAUGAAUAUACUACCACACUUUGUACCUGUACCAUCUUGACAUUGUGGGCAGACUGGGUUAUUAUGUUUCCAGUUGUUUCCAUAACCAGAACAUACUAAUCAGUCUGCCCUGUUCAAAAAACGUUUUUUGUCCUGUAAUUAAAAAGUAAUAAAUAAAACUUAGAAUUGUAAAA